This 842-nucleotide long non-coding RNA is filed under the name Homo sapiens (human). RNAcentral describes it as "HSALNT0385599". Lineage: Eukaryota; Metazoa; Chordata; Mammalia; Primates; Hominidae. The record is from RNAcentral.
CAGUAACUUCCUUGUGUUGUGUGUAUUCAACUCACAGAGUUGAACCAUCUUUUACACAGAGCAGAUAUGAAACACUCUUUUUGUGGAAUUUGCAAGUGGAGAUUUCAGCCACCUUGAGGUCAAUGGUAGAAAAGGAAAUAUCUUCGUAUAAAACCUAGACAGAAUGAUUCUCAGAAACUCCUUCGUGAUGUGUGCUUUCAACUCACUGAGUUUAACCUUUCUUUUCAUACAGCAUUCUGGAAACACUCUGUUUGUAAAGUCUGCAAGUGGAUAUCUGGACCUCUUAGAUGCCUUCGUUGGAAACGGGUUUUUUCAUGUAAGGUUAGACAGAGGAAUUCCCAGUAACUUCCUUGUGUUGUGUGCAUUCAACUCACAGAGUUGAAUGAUUCUUUACACAGAGCAGAUUUGAGACACUCUUUUGGUGGAAUUUGUAAGUGGAGAAUUCAGCCGCUUUGAGGUCAAUGGUAGAAAAGGAAAUAUCUUCGUAUAAAAACUAGACAGAAUGAUUCUCAGAAACUCCUUUGUGAUGUGUGCGUUCAACUCACAGAGUUUAACCUUUCUUUUCAUAGAGCAGUUAGGAAACACUCUGUUUGUGAAGUCUGCCAGUGGAUAUUCGGACCUUUUUGAGGCCUUCGUUGGAAAUGGGAUUUCUUCAUAUUAUGCUAGACAGAAGAUUUCUCAGUAACUACUUUGUGUUGUCUGUAUGCAACUCACAGAGUUCAACCUUCCUUUAGACAGAGCAGAUUUGAAACACUCUUUUUGUGGAAUUUGCAAGUGGAGAUUUCAAGCGCUUCGAUGCCAAUGGUAGAAAAGGAAAUAUCUUCGUAUAAAAACAAGACAAA